GCGCCGGUGGUGUACGGUACACGCGCCGUCCCUGUAACAGUUAGGCAAGUGCCAAGACUUCAAUGGCGAGUUGGGGUUCGACUCCCCGCCGGCGCA
This is a non-coding RNA of Mycena rosella, 96 nucleotides long. NCBI's taxonomy places the organism in Eukaryota, Fungi, Basidiomycota, Agaricomycetes, Agaricales, Mycenaceae. The record is from the annotation of a GenBank genome assembly.